Long non-coding RNA from Oreochromis aureus, 432 nucleotides. RefSeq lists it as uncharacterized. The transcript is spliced from 3 exons. The record is from RefSeq and is a predicted model, not a curated record. Lineage: Eukaryota; Metazoa; Chordata; Actinopteri; Cichliformes; Cichlidae.
UAUACUGCAUGGUUUGGGCACCUUGGCAUCCUGGUCAUAACCAGCUAAUGUAGCACUGGCUAGCUAGCUAGGUCACAUGGAACCAUAAUUUGCAGCAGAAUGUAAGGUAUAUUUAACCUAAAAAAGAAAAAAGCACACACAUAACAUGGCUAUUUACCCCAGGUAGAGGUGUUUCAGGUGGAGGACACUGUUAUCAGCUCUUCUGCAAGCCUCCAGUGCUGGACUAAGCUGGAUAUUUCUUGCAGUGUGCCCCGAGAAGCGUUCCGGUUGCACCCAGCGUCAGUCAGGGGCCUCAGCACUGACUGACACUCUGUGGAUGAUAGCGAAAUCUAGCAGAAGGAGGGAACGCGAUGGUCCCCAAUGGAAGUGCGUGCGCGACUGUGCAGGUGUGACGCCAGCUGCUGGGCUCCCAAACACCCCCCCACUUCUCCU